AUUAGUUAACUUUAGGGUUAUAAAUAUUUUUUUCCUUCUUUAAAAAUAAGGAUAAAAGUGGUUAGUGUAAUCAUAAACAGUAGUAUUAUGAAUAUGAUAUUUUUGACAACUUCCCAGUAAAAACCACCAUCACCAACAAUACUGCAGGUCCAUAAAUAAUAGUCUCUUCGUUAUAUAAUGCACCAUAUUUUGGUUAAAACAAAAUAAAAAUAAAAAAAAUACUUUAAAAAUUAUCAAUCAUAAUGAAUAUAAUAAAAUAUUAUUGGUCAACUAAUAUUAAAACACCUUAUAUUUUAAAACAUUAAAUCUUCAUUAAAACAUUUUACACUAUGGAUUGAAUAAUUCCGAACCGAAAUAAUAAAUGUGUAGUUAGUUUAUUUUCCAUCGAUGAGACACAAAAUAAUGACGUUAAGAGAAAUUCUAUAAGAAAAUCUUUAAAUACACCAACUGAAUUAGACUAAAUAACAA
RNAcentral lists this long non-coding RNA (468 nucleotides) under Brassica rapa (field mustard). Its description in RNAcentral is "long non-coding RNA (BRAP_LNC003035)". Lineage: Eukaryota; Viridiplantae; Streptophyta; Magnoliopsida; Brassicales; Brassicaceae. The record is from RNAcentral.